CGUUCAAAUUUUCAUUUUUUUCUUUCAUUGAAUGUAUAUGGGGUAGGAGACUGUUGAGAAAAUAACAGCAACCUAAUACAUGACACAAUCUCCCCACAACUGGUACCCCUGUCUCACCAGUCAGUCGUGACAGGUAUUGGCUUCAUUCUAAGCAUGUGUGAGCUAAUGAUGCUAAGCACCAACCCUUGGGGAUGAUCCUGCUAGGGAUGGAUUAUGUCGACAUUUUUCUCUUCAUCAUAUCAUCCUCUUAACUUUGGGCAGUCAUCAGGAGCCAGCAUUUUUAGCUACAAAUAACUUUCUUAGGGCACCACCUAGCAAUCUGGUUGUUGGGCAUUAGGUUUGGUAAGUGUCAGCUUUUUUGAGGGAAAUGUAGCUUUCUGAUGUAGCCAUUAUGCUAUCUCAAAUGGUUGUGAUUCCCUUUUAUUUAUUAGCUCUGUCAAUUCUUUCAAUGAAACAUGUCUGAAAGAAACAGCUCUGUCUCGCUUUGUGCUAGAUAGUUACCAAUCACUGCUACGUGUAAUGUUUGUGAAAAGGGCCUAGGAUUUGUCAUGGAUAAUCAAAUUUUAGGUAACCCUUUGGAGCAUAUGAUUUGUAUUUAACCAAUAUGCAAAAAACAUAAUACCUAACUUGGAUGCUUUUCCUUGUGGCCUUAUGUCUGCAUGUAUCCAUUACCUUUUAAGGCAGGUAUGGUCAUCCCGGUAGGACUAAACUUUCAUGGUCUACCCCUGUGCUGGAAAGUUUGCCAUUUACUCGCUUCUGAUUGAGUGCUUGAUGUUUAACGAGAAGACAUGGACAUUUGUUGUGGAGCAUUUGGAUGGUCAGCUAACAAUCAAGCAGAAACCAGGCUAUGAAAACAGUAGGUCAUCAGCUCCAAUGCAUGUUCUGGCCAUUUGUGAGGAGGUUCUAUAUAUGCUAUAAAGGCUUUUCCUUCUUAAUGGCCAAACGAGGGAAUCAAUUUUUGUAUGGAGUUUGAGCCCAAAUUGUUAUCUGUUUGCUUGUUCUUGUAGUUUUGCUGAGAUAUGUUUGAUCUUUGGCUUUCUUGGAGCGUAA
Non-coding RNA from Theobroma cacao (cacao), 1050 nucleotides. NCBI's taxonomy places the organism in Eukaryota, Viridiplantae, Streptophyta, Magnoliopsida, Malvales, Malvaceae. The record is from RefSeq and is a predicted model, not a curated record.